CGUUCCUACGGGGGGCAGCAGUGAGGAAUAUUGGUCAAUGGGCGGGAGCCUGAACCAGCCAAGUCGCGUGAGGGAAGACGGUCCUAUGGAUUGUAAACCUCUUUUGUCGGGGAGCAAAGAGACCACGUGUGGUCAAAAGCGAGAGUACCCGAAGAAAAAGCAUCGGCUAACUCCGUGCCAGCAGCCGCGGUAAUACGGAGGAUGCGAGCGUUAUCCGGAUUUAUUGGGUUUAAAGGGUGCGUAGGCGGGACGGUAAGUCAGCGGUAAAAAUCCGUGGCUCAACUCCGUCGAGACGUUG
This 298-nucleotide ribosomal RNA is filed under the name uncultured bacterium. Its description in RNAcentral is "partial 16S ribosomal RNA". It matches the Rfam family "Bacterial small subunit ribosomal RNA", at positions 334 to 629 of the family's 1533-position model. The record is from RNAcentral.